GAACUGCUGAGGAGUCCCAUACUGAAACGAAACGGCCGUCCAGUGC
Molecule: non-coding RNA, 46 nt
Organism: Schistosoma haematobium
Lineage: Eukaryota; Metazoa; Platyhelminthes; Trematoda; Strigeidida; Schistosomatidae
Source: Rfam